RNAcentral lists this unclassified non-coding RNA (321 nucleotides) under uncultured fungus. RNAcentral describes it as "sequence contains ITS2". Lineage: Eukaryota; Fungi. The record is from RNAcentral.
AACGCACAUUGCACUCCUCUGGAGUAUGCCUGUUUGAGAAUCUAUAGUAUUCUUUUUUGCUUUGUUUCUUUGGAAGCAAAGUGAGAGAUAUGAGGUAUCCCUACUUGUAGGGUGCUUUGAAUUAGAUUGUCUCUGUCUUGUAGAAAAUGACGACGUUUUUCACAACCUACAGAAAAGUAUUUGAAUGGAACCUUGGUUUCUUAUGAUGCUGAAUAAGUAGGCGAAAGAAAGAGUUUUCGUAGGACUGGGGUCCAUAACCAUUAAAGCUCCUAGAGCUUGAACCAUGGUCUCAAAUCAGGUAGGAAGACCCGCUGAACUUAA